CGCACAUUGCGCCCAUGAGUAUUCUCUUGGGCAUGCCUGUUCGAGCGUCAUUGCAACCCUUAAGCCUAGCUUAGUGUUGGGAAUCUACUGCCUUGUAGCUCCCGAAAACCAACGGCGGAUUCGCGGUAUCCUCUGAGCGUAGUAAUUAUUAUCUCGCUUCUGUUAGGUGCCGUGAUUCUAGCCGCUAAACCCCCUAUUUUUAAAGGUUGACCUCGGAUCAGGUAGGAAUACCCGCUGAACUUAA
RNAcentral lists this unclassified non-coding RNA (244 nucleotides) under Lepteutypa sambuci. RNAcentral describes it as "partial contains 5.8S ribosomal RNA, internal transcribed spacer 2, and large subunit ribosomal RNA". Lineage: Eukaryota; Fungi; Ascomycota; Sordariomycetes; Amphisphaeriales; Amphisphaeriaceae. The record is from RNAcentral.